RNAcentral lists this ribosomal RNA (162 nucleotides) under Triplostegia glandulifera. RNAcentral's name for it is "5.8S ribosomal RNA". It matches the Rfam family "5.8S ribosomal RNA". Rfam says of the family: 5.8S ribosomal RNA (5.8S rRNA) is a component of the large subunit of the eukaryotic ribosome. It is transcribed by RNA polymerase I as part of the 45S precursor that also contains 18S and 28S rRNA. Lineage: Eukaryota; Viridiplantae; Streptophyta; Magnoliopsida; Dipsacales; Caprifoliaceae. The record is from RNAcentral.
CAAACGACUCUGGNAACGGNUNUUUGGUUUCUCGCAUNNAUNAAAAACGUACGAAAUGCGAUACUUGGUGUGAAUUGCAGAAUCCCGUGAAUCAUCGAGUCUUUGAACGCAAGUUGCGCCCGAAGCCAUUAGGCCGAGGGCACGUCUGCCUGGGCGUCACGC